GUAGGGAAUAUUGCGCAAUGGACGAAAGUCUGACGCAGCGACGCCGCGUGAGUGAUGAAGGCCUUAGGGUCGUAAAGCUCUGUUGAAUGGGAAGAAAAAAAUGACGGUACCAUUCGAGGAAGGACCGGCUAACUUCGUGCCAGCAGCCGCGGUAAUACGAGGGGGCCUAGCGUUGUUCGGAAUCAUUGGGCGUAAAGGGUGUGUAGGUGGCCAUGUAAGUCAGGUGUGAAAGCCCCGGGCUCAAACCGGGAAGUGCACUUGAUACUGCGUGGCUUGAGUACCGAAGAGGGUAGUGGAAUUCCAGGUGUAGUGGUGAAAUACGUAGAUAUCUGGAGGAACACCGGUGGCGAAGGCGGCUACCUGGUCGAGUACUGACACUGAGACACGAAAGCAUGGGGAUCAAACAGGAUUAGAAACCCUGGUAGUCC
RNAcentral lists this ribosomal RNA (428 nucleotides) under uncultured bacterium. RNAcentral describes it as "partial 16S ribosomal RNA". It matches the Rfam family "Bacterial small subunit ribosomal RNA", at positions 354 to 796 of the family's 1533-position model. The record is from RNAcentral.